Long non-coding RNA from Hyalella azteca, 1400 nucleotides. RefSeq lists it as uncharacterized. The transcript has 3 exons. Lineage: Eukaryota; Metazoa; Arthropoda; Malacostraca; Amphipoda; Hyalellidae. The record is from RefSeq and is a predicted model, not a curated record.
GGAUGGUUAAAAAGGGCAGUUAUUGCCUUCAAGAAUGGCCAAGGUGGUGUUUAUCUGAGCAGAAAGCGCAUGUUAGGAAACGAUGGAAACCCUUCCCAGUGAAAUGCACUGUGACCACCUCAAAUAACUAUUCAAGAGCUGUGCACCACAUGUUACACGGCGAUGCGUAAUCAGCAGGUUCAGAAAAUGAAGCCCGUAGCCCCAACCCUGAUUACAUGCAAAACAAACGGAAGUAGUCACCGUGGAGCAGUGUAUCACCAGCUGUUUGAACAUCAUCGGGUUGCCCCCAUCGAGCAAACCUCCUAAUUCUUUCAGGUCUUUCUGUUGCAUCUUCAGGAGCAACUGGCUGGUCGGGGCAGCGCAGAAGUAGGAAGGACGCAACUAGGCCAACCACAAAUCGCGUAACUCCUACCAACCCCUCAAUUCCAAGUCGUGCAACAAGAUCUGCGGUUGGCAUCUCUUUCCCAAAUCGUCAAGCACGUGAGCCUGCAGUUGCUCCAGCCCGUAUUCAAGUCGCUGCUUUGGAUGCGCUCACUGCUGGUCCUUCGCAUUCAGCAAGUUGGGCUGUGCUUGUGCACAAUGUAGGUUUUGUACCAAGUGACGACAACCUACAUGACAGAGGUCGAAAAUUUUUUCACUUUCGAAUGCGUACAUUUUAAAGUGAAUUUUAUAGGUAAAAAUUAUUAAUGUAUUCUAAUGAAUUUGAUUUGGGAGGAUACCUAACAAGCUAGGUGCUGUUUUUACUGCUCAAUGCGGAGAUGCUCAGAAACCGAAUACGAAGUAUCGGCAGUAUUAGGAAUGGUAUUUGCUUAUUCAAUUAUAAGAAGUUAAGAAAAGAAAUAUGCUCUCAUCAAUGUAGGGUUGGUGGGGCUACAUUAGUUUUAAAAAAGUUGCUACUAGCGUGUUCGAAUGUAUUGGACAUCACAUAUUUUUUUGGAUGCCACCACUUUCUGAAUUUGUGUCUUCGGAUUAUACCUAGUCAUUUCUAAUCGAUAUACCGGUAUUUACUCGCGUGGUAAUUAUACGGAGACAUUUUUGGCAUCAGCCAAAUUUUAAUUUUCUUUGUGUUAGGAAAGUCACCGUUAUUAGAAUUAAUUUCUCUUAUAGUGUGCGACGGCCGGUAUGACAUGUUUUUUUCAUAUGGUGCAUCUACUUGUAUACCAAAAGUACAGUCGCAAUUCCGUACAGAUUGUAGAUUUUUUCGGGAGCUUAUUCAAUAAAGCAUAUUUUGGUUGACUUCUUCAAUUCCUAAAAUUACAAUAAUUGAAUUUUUGAUGACUUUCCUCAGGCUGAGGCUUCCCAUCAUGUUGAUGCAUAGACUGUUUUAACUGUGGGCUUGGAAUUUUUUGAAAACAUUUGUGCUAGAUAAUAUACUGGUAAUCAUCGUACACUCGGUUAAG